GGGAAACACUGCUCUAAUCUGUGGUUUUGUCUCCUAUCACAACAUGCCUGCAGCCUGCAUGUCUCUGUCAUUUACAUGUAGAGAUCAGUGUACAUACCGGCGUCCCGAUCACUAAAGGCAGAGGGAGAAGGAUGCACGGAGUCGAGAAGAGGAUGAGCUCAUUCUUUAUGGAGCGCAGAUGUCUGAGGAAUCCCAUCCUGAAGGGAAAA
Molecule: long non-coding RNA, 209 nt
Organism: Austrofundulus limnaeus
Lineage: Eukaryota; Metazoa; Chordata; Actinopteri; Cyprinodontiformes; Rivulidae
Exons: 2
Source: RefSeq, a predicted model, not a curated record